This 224-nucleotide unclassified non-coding RNA is filed under the name Hevea brasiliensis (rubber tree). The record is from RNAcentral. Lineage: Eukaryota; Viridiplantae; Streptophyta; Magnoliopsida; Malpighiales; Euphorbiaceae.
AGAAUUGUCAUCAUUGUUAGAUAAGGCAAAUUCCGAUGAGGAAUCGACUUGUUCAGGAUUCAAUGUACAAUGAAGCAGUAAAUUGUGGCGGCAAAACCGAGUCUUGAAUGGAGCAGAUGCAGUUGUAGAUAAACGACGACAGGAUAAAGCGUUGGCGAAAGAAAGGGACCGAACAUGUUUCGAAGAAGAAAAAUGGAGAAGAGGAGGUAAAGGCUUGAAGAGAA